This 406-nucleotide ribosomal RNA is filed under the name uncultured bacterium. Its description in RNAcentral is "bacterial SSU rRNA". It matches the Rfam family "Bacterial small subunit ribosomal RNA", at positions 28 to 440 of the family's 1533-position model. The record is from RNAcentral.
GACGAACGCUGGCGGCGUGCUUAACACAUGCAAGUCGAGCGGUAAGGCCCUUUCGGGGGUACACGAGCGGCGAACGGGUGAGUAACACGUGGGUGACCUGCCCUCAGCUCUGGGAUAAGCCUGGGAAACCGGGUCUAAUACUGGAUAUGACUCCAUGACGCAUGUUGUGGGGUGGAAAGCCUUGUGCGGCUGAGGAUGGGCCCGCGGCCUAUCAGCUUGUUGGUGGGGUGANGGCCUACCAAGGCGACGACGGGUAGCCGGCCUGAGAGGGCGACCGGCCACACUGGGACUGAGACACGGCCCAGACUCCUACGGGAGGCAGCAGUGGGGAAUCUUGCGCAAUGGGCGAAAGCCUGACGCAGCGACGCCGCGUGUGGGAUGACGGCCUGGUGUAACUACUUCUACG